GCUGAGGCGGGUUCAGCCCCGACAACAAAAGCUGAUAAACUGCGCUUCCUUUCAGAUUCCAAACACUGAUCCGGCGCAACAAGCAUGUGGCAGGGUGCCUGGUUCGUGGUGCUGUUUUUCAGCUGUGGAAGUGUGGCUCUUACCCUGAUCCAGCCCAAACCAUCGAUUACAGCACCUGUUGGGGAAAGCGUGCGCGUACGGUGUCAAGUGAAUGGAGGCUCGGUUAGCAACAGUAAUCCCCUUCACUGGUACCAACAGAAACCCGGCAAGCCGCUCGAAAGGAUACUCCACUAUGGAGAUAGCGUAACGCGGGAUUCGGGAUUCGGGACAUCCUUCAGCGCGGCAAAAAUUACAGAUUCCAAUCUCUAUCUGUCAAUCAAAGUUAACGCUGACAGCGCUGCCACCUAUUACUGCGCCUACUGGGUUUACACAGUAUGUAAUAGAUAA
Hypanus sabinus (Atlantic stingray) is the source of this 447-nucleotide non-coding RNA. The record is from the annotation of a RefSeq genome assembly. Lineage: Eukaryota; Metazoa; Chordata; Chondrichthyes; Myliobatiformes; Dasyatidae.